UACGUAGGGUGCAAGCGUUGUCCGGAAUUAUUGGGCGUAAAGAGCUCGUAGGCGGUUCGUCGCGUCGGCUGUGAAAACCCGGAGCUCAACUCCGGGCCUGCAGUCGAUACGGGCGGACUUGAGGCCAGUAGGGGUCACUAGAACUGACGGUGGAGCAGUGAAAUGCGUAGAUAUCGUCAGGAAUGCCGGUGGUGAAGACGGGUGACUGGGCUGGUUCUGACACUGAGGCACGAAAGCGUGGGGAGCGAACGGG
RNAcentral lists this ribosomal RNA (253 nucleotides) under uncultured bacterium. RNAcentral describes it as "partial 16S ribosomal RNA". It matches the Rfam family "Bacterial small subunit ribosomal RNA", at positions 524 to 776 of the family's 1533-position model. The record is from RNAcentral.